This 351-nucleotide long non-coding RNA is filed under the name Mytilus galloprovincialis (Mediterranean mussel). Lineage: Eukaryota; Metazoa; Mollusca; Bivalvia; Mytilida; Mytilidae. The record is from RNAcentral.
AAUUCCUGCGGUAGAUCCCAACAGGUACUUUUAGAACCUGAGUGGUAGAGCCCAGACAAGUAUGAAUUUUGAAAAAUGAGAAUUCCUGCGGUAGAUCCCAACAGGUACUAUUAGAACCUGACUGGUAGAGCCCAGACGGGUAUACAUUUGAAAAAUGAGAAUUCCUGCGGUAGAUCCCAACAGGUACCAAAACUAACUUAAUUAUCACCUUUAAAUAAAACAAAGCCUUAAUAAUUUAUAAGAUGUAUGAAUGAAUUGGGGGAAAAUAAUUUCCCUGAAAUUAAGUAGGCCAAAUUGAAUGAAAAACAUAAAACUAAAACAAACAAAACACAUAUUGUUAUGAGUAGCCCC